Molecule: transfer RNA, 72 nt
Filed under: Bos taurus (domestic cattle)
Lineage: Eukaryota; Metazoa; Chordata; Mammalia; Artiodactyla; Bovidae
Also listed under: 2 other names
Rfam family: tRNA
About the family: Transfer RNA (tRNA) molecules are approximately 80 nucleotides in length. Their secondary structure includes four short double-helical elements and three loops (D, anti-codon, and T loops).
Source: Rfam by way of RNAcentral
UCCCUGGUGGCUCAGAGGUUAAAGCGUCUGCCUGCAAUGCAGGUGACCUGGGUUCGAUCCCUGGGUCGGGAA